CAGGAGGUGCUUAGAGCUGCAAGGAGCGCCCCUGCCCAUUAUGGGUAAUCAGGUGAUCUGCUGUGUGGCUCUUUGUCUCCUCGGAGCAGGCACAGCGGCUGGUGGAAUCACUCAGACCCCAAAAUACUUGUUCAGAGAGGAAGGACGAGAGGUGACUCUGGAAUGUGAACAGGAUUUAAUCAUGACUCUAUGUACUGGUACCGACAGGACCCAGGGCAAGGGCUAAGACUGAUCUACUACUCGCUGACAGCAAAUGAUAUUCAGAAAGGAGACAUACCUGAAGGCUACAGUGCCUCUCGGGGGAAGACAGCAUUCUUCUCCCUCAUUGUGACAUGGAUUUGA
Odobenus rosmarus divergens (Pacific walrus) is the source of this 342-nucleotide non-coding RNA. Lineage: Eukaryota; Metazoa; Chordata; Mammalia; Carnivora; Odobenidae. The record is from the annotation of a RefSeq genome assembly.